RNAcentral lists this long non-coding RNA (663 nucleotides) under Piliocolobus tephrosceles (Ugandan red Colobus). Its description in RNAcentral is "lncRNA (ENSPTEG00000010413.1)". The record is from RNAcentral. Lineage: Eukaryota; Metazoa; Chordata; Mammalia; Primates; Cercopithecidae.
UGGCGGGGGGCGGGGUGUGGGGAGCCACUGGCGGGAAGACAGGGAGGGAGAGCGCGUCUGGGGAGUGUGCGCCCAAGGCCAGAGGCACCCGAGGUGGGCUGGCCCGGGGUGGAAAGCUGGGCCGAGCCCCUGGAGCGGGCGGAACGGCGAGCCAGAUUCAGGAAGUUGUGCCUGUGACAUCAGGGGCAGGACAGAGUUGGAGCGAAACCUCAACUAUGCAAGGCGUCGGCCCGCAGGAGGGCAGGGAACACAGAGGGCGCUGUCCUCGGCUGCAGCGGCAGACCCGGCUAGCAGUGGGAGUGCAGAGGCAACCAAAAAGGAACCCACACCUCGCUCCAGGGCCCGGGGCGCUGUCAGACGGGGCAGCACCCAGGAGAUUCCCUGGGCAACCACGCCUGCAGGAAGCCCUUCCGCGGACCGAAAGACUGGGCAGUGAUCAGGAUCUGAAUGCACAGGGCUGGUGUUCAGCGAUUGUUUACUACGUUGAACGUGACCUCCAGAAAAGCAGUUCUGGCCGAGAUCCCCUGACAACACAGAAGAAGAAGUAACGUGGAAGGAGGCUCCCCAAGCUGGCCAUUGUGCUGCUGUGUGUGGAGGUGCUGUCAGUGGCAUGCCCAAACCCAAAGCUGGAAGAGGAAUAAAUUACAAGUGGUCAAGGUUGCA